RNAcentral lists this non-coding RNA (32 nucleotides) under Mus musculus (house mouse). The record is from RNAcentral. Lineage: Eukaryota; Metazoa; Chordata; Mammalia; Rodentia; Muridae.
UGGCAAACUGAGGUGUUACUAACAUUGUCAAU